Molecule: long non-coding RNA, 711 nt
Filed under: Macaca mulatta (Rhesus monkey)
Lineage: Eukaryota; Metazoa; Chordata; Mammalia; Primates; Cercopithecidae
Description: lncRNA (ENSMMUG00000049738.1)
Source: RNAcentral
ACAGAGCCUCUUGCCUUGCAAGUCCUCAGUGUUAUCUUCCAUCACUGAUAUGAUCAGAAUAUCUGUAGCAAAAAUACAUCAGUUUCUUGAAUAGAGGAAUCUUGGCUUUUCUUUCUUUUUCCCCCCCCACCAGUUGUUAUUAUUGAAAUCUGCAUAAUGAAGACACUCAGAAAUUCUCCUCAAUAACCUAUAAGCAACCCCCUAACUACCUAGGAGUAAGGAGACAACGGAGUCCCAAAGGAGUCUGUCUCACCUACAAACUUAUGAGGGUCACAGAAAACACCCACAAACUUAUGAGGAUCACGGAAAACACCACUACCCCAACUUAGAGCCAAUCUAUUCAACCUGCAUUGUUAGCAGGUUUGAUUGUCAAGUUACUAUCCAAGAGCAGAAUUCUUCCUGGAGCCUCCUCACUAAAGAAGUUCUCUAUAUUUAUGGGUCAUUAAGACAAGGACACCAACUGAGAACUGGUACUAAUUGCUUGACCACAUAUUCCAAUGCAAAGUGGCAAUGCCGAUGGACCUCUGUAGAAAUGGAUUUUUUUAAAGUAACUUUCAGCAAAUAAAUAGUAUCGACUCUGUGACACUGACUGAGCUUAAAUUAUUCUCAAGCAUAAUUGAUGACAAACAGAGACACAGAGAUACUAUCUGAUUUUUUUCAGUGGACACACUGCUGGAUCUGUAUUAGGUCUAGGCACAUGCUUAGGGCUGU